This is a long non-coding RNA of Dermacentor albipictus, 886 nucleotides long. RefSeq lists it as uncharacterized. Lineage: Eukaryota; Metazoa; Arthropoda; Arachnida; Ixodida; Ixodidae. The record is from RefSeq and is a predicted model, not a curated record.
UGUUGCGCUUGGCGGUUCCUUUCGGUUGGUUCGCGCCAAAAGUGAGCGCCAAAUGCCAAACUUUUGAGCGGGCCACUUGGACUCGAUUUUGCGAAAACGGCAGCAACAACACCGUGCGAUAUUGCUUAGGCUUCCUGACACUCCAGGAGGACAUGGAGGACGGUCAGUCUCUCCCCACAUCUACCGCAGAUUGGAGGUUCAUUUCCAGUCAGUACGUGGCGGCGGAAGCUGCGAGGCAGGUGGCCUGACUCGAACAGUCACGGGCGACAGCUGACCUGGCCGAGCGCCACUCUCAAGAACUAGUCUGCUUAUGCCGAGAAUGGGCUGCAACACUGAAUCGAUCAUGCGCUGCGAGGGAUUCUCCUUCACGGUGGAAAUCACCGGGCUAAAGAAAGUCCAGUGGAGUCGCAGUCUCCCCGCCAGCCCCCUAGUGCAUGCCAUCGACCAUGUCUGCCGAGCUCGCCGUGGUUGACUGGUUUGCUGAAGAGGAUGGCCUAGGUCUGGACCUGGAUCUCGAUCCGGGUCGUGUCCCCAGUGUCCUGGAGCCGGACCGGGAUAAGGAUCUGGUGGUGGAUAGAGACCUUGUCUUCGAUCUGGAGCGUCGUUCCCUUGCGUUUGGGAGGCCAGGCCUUCUAUGAGACUCUGCCCUGUCUUCUCUUGAGGGAAUAUCUGUUUUGGAGCGCAGCUCUUAGGCGCCUGCUCCUGCGGUGAGUGUCGGUGGCAUAACCGAGUGGACGAGCACAGCGAAACAUGAAAGAGCAAACGCAAAGCAGGAGAUGAAGGACGCAAGCCGCAAACGGUGAAGACCAAGGAGAGUGGCCCCUUCAGUGACGGGCGUGCGAGAAACUGGUGUCAUGCGGACCAGCUUGACAGCUCGAUGCGUACU